RNAcentral lists this ribosomal RNA (274 nucleotides) under uncultured bacterium. RNAcentral's name for it is "partial 16S ribosomal RNA". It matches the Rfam family "Bacterial small subunit ribosomal RNA", at positions 523 to 796 of the family's 1533-position model. The record is from RNAcentral.
AGACGGAGGGUGCAAGCGUUAAUCGGAAUUACUGGGCGUAAAGCGCUCGUAGGCGGCUUGUUAAGUCGGAUGUGAAAGCCCUGGGCUCAACCUGGGAACUGCAUUCGAUACUGGCAGGCUAGAGUAUAGUAGAGGCAAGUGGAAUUCCGGGUGUAGCGGUGAAAUGCGUAGAUAUCCGGAGGAACAUCAGUGGCGAAGGCGACUUGCUGGACUAAUUCUGACGCUGAGGAGCGAAAGCGUGGGGAGCAAACGGGAUUAGAAACCCCUGUAGUCC